RNAcentral lists this ribosomal RNA (465 nucleotides) under uncultured bacterium. RNAcentral's name for it is "bacterial SSU rRNA". It matches the Rfam family "Bacterial small subunit ribosomal RNA", at positions 14 to 522 of the family's 1533-position model. The record is from RNAcentral.
AGAUCUUGGCUCAGAACGAACGCUGGCGGCGUGCCUCACUCAUGCAAGUCGAACGAGGCCCUUCCUUGUUUAUUGGCUCACGGGUGCAUAGCGGAGGAAAACCUGCCCUUUGUUCCCCACUUUCUGCUGGAACCGGCUGCAACUACCGCAAGAUCCCAAAAUUCCAAAGAUUUAGCCCCCAAGGAUGACCCCGCGUUGUAUUAGGAAGUUGGAGGGCUAAAGGCCUACCAAUGCCGAGAAUCCAUACCUGGUCCGAGAGGAUGAACGGCCACCCUGGGCCGAAAAGCCGACCCGCACCCCUACGGGAGGCACCCGGGCGAAAUAUUGACCAAUGGCCGCAGGCCGGAUCCUUGAAUGCCGCGUGAAUGUUGAAGGCCCCAGGGCUGUAAGGGUCUUUAACCCCUUAAGAUAAUGACCGUCCCGGAAAAAUAAACCCCGGCUAAUUCCGGGCCAUCACCCGCGGUA